RNAcentral lists this long non-coding RNA (3949 nucleotides) under Gossypium raimondii (Peruvian cotton). Its description in RNAcentral is "long non-coding RNA (GRAI_LNC007065)". The record is from RNAcentral. Lineage: Eukaryota; Viridiplantae; Streptophyta; Magnoliopsida; Malvales; Malvaceae.
UGUACAUGCCACAUUACCAAGGAAAAUAUACAUCACCAAAAGUUUGCUGAAGUCGGGUCUGGUUUUGGAUGCUGGAUCAGUACUUGACCUCUACAACCUGCGCACGGAAGCAACCGUACGCUGAGUACGCAUAUACUCAGUGGUAUCACUAUAAUUCAAUUUAUAAUUAAAUGCAUUAAAUCACACACAUUGUAAUGGCCUAAAUUUGAGGUUAUCGGAACAGUGGUUUCGGGACCACAAAUCCGAUGAGAAAAAUUUUAUUUUUCUUAUAUUUUUAUGGUCUACAAUUUCACAAAAUGAUUUUGUGAAAAUUUCGUUCGAAAAUUUCGACGUUUGGGCACUCAAUUUAGUCAAAAGGACUAAAUUGUAAAAAGUGCAAAAGUUGAGUUCUACAUGUUAGAGGUGUCCAAUUGUUAUGAAACUUUAAAUUGGAGGUCCUUAUAUGGUAAUUAUACCAUUGGUAACUUGGUAGACAAAAAUGGACAUGAGAUAAGUGAAAUAGAAAAUUUUUAAGUUAGGGGCAAUUUGGUAAUCUAGUAAUUAAAAUGAAUUAAAAGGGAAAAAGAUGGCAAAAAUCAUCAUCUUCUUCAUUAGGACGAAAUCAGCAAGGGGGGAAGCCACAGUUAGGGUUUUCAAGCUUCCAAGCUCCAUAGUAAGUGAUCCCAAGUCCCGUUUUUAAUGUUUUUUACGUUUUUGGAGUCCCGGUAGCUUAAUUUAGCUUAUUCUAGCAAUAAUUUAACCUAGGGUUUAUAUUUGGAAAAAUACCCAUAGGUGAAAAGUGUUUAUUUUGAUGUUUUAUGAUAGAAUAUGAAGCUAGAAAUUAUGUUAAACAACUUUUGCUAAGCGAUUUUAAGUGAAAACGAGUAAAACGACAUAAUCGGUAAAAAUACCUAAUGUUCAUAAGUACAUGUUAGAGUGGGAAUUUGAUGUUGCCAUAGAAGGGAAAAAUGUUCAGAAUGUUAUAAAACAUAAGAAUAAGAGAUGAAGUUUAAUUUCCGAGCCUUGGGGCAAAAAUGUAAUUAUGUAAAAGUUUAGGGGCAAAUUAUAAUUUUGAAAAAGUUAGAGUCGAGGGCUGUUUUGAUGAAUGUGAUUAUUAAAUAAGUUAAAUUUACUAUUUUAGAUCAAGAAGUACGAAACUCGAGGUUAGACAAAGGGAAGAAUAAAGUUGAAGACUAAGUUGGUGAAUUUGGCUAUAAUUGGUACCGAGGUAAGUUUACGGUAAAUAAAUGCAAUAUUUCAAUAUUUAUUAUUAAUGCUGUUAAUUUCCAGCAAUUAUGAAUUUAUUUGAUGAUGAUCCAAAGCAUGAAAUGAUAGAGAAUUAAAAUUUAAAAGUCCCCGUUGAUACAUAAGGAUGGUACUGGAUACGAAUGUCAUGACAUUUGGGUAAAGAGAUCCCAUGUAAGACCAUGUCUGGGACAUGGCAUUGGCAUCCUUAAGAUCAUGAGAGGUCCCAUGUAAGACCAUGUCUGGGACAUGGCGUUGGCACCGAGAUGAGAGGUCCCAUGUAAGACCAUGUCUGGGUCAUGGCAUUGGCACCGAGAUGAGAGGUCCCCUAUAAGACCAUGUCUGGGACAUGGCAUGGGCACCAACAUGAGAACAUCCCAUGUAAGACCAUGUCUGGGACAUGGCUUUGGCAUGUUAUUAUCAGAAGAGACCCGAGUAUCCUUAUUAUUCCAAUGUAGCUCAACGGGCUUGUAAACGAAUCAUAUUCAUGAAAGUUCAGUUUAAAGCAUAAAUGGCAAGCUCAGGUAAGUUGUAAGACUUAAGAACUUAUUAUACUAUCAAUUGAUGUUCAACGAUGCAGCAAGAGUUGAGUAAGUUAUGCACACAAGUAUUCUAAGUAAAUAAGUAAGAGAACUAGUAUGAGAUUAACUAAAGAGUAAACUAGAGAUAUAGUCACUUGAGUUUAAUUAUUUGUGUGUAAUGUUGUUAUUUAUUUGCUAGUAAACUUACUAAGCUUUAUGCUUAAUUCUUUUAUUUCUCUUUCUCUUAUAGUAUUGCAAAGCUACUUCAAGGAUCCUAAAGAAGUCGGAGAUCGUCCACACUAUCAACCACAACUGCUCGGUAUUUUAUGUCAAAACACGUUUGAGUUAUGGCAUGUAUAGGGAUUUAGUUAUUUUGUAUGUUUGUAAUGAUGAUUUUGCUAAUAAGUGAUGUGUAAGUAUUUGAUGAUGUAUGGUCAUUAAAAUGGUUAAGGAUGAAGGUGUUUGUUGUUAUGAAAGAUUAGGUGAUAAAUUAUGCAUGGAAAUCAUGAAAGGAUAAAAUUUGCAAAGAAACAAAUACCAAACAGCACAGUGACGUGAAUUUGNNNNNNNNNNNNNNNNNNNNNNNNNNNNNNNNNNNNNNNNNNNNNNNNNNNNNNNNNNNNNNNNNNNNNNNNNNNNNNNNNNNNNNNNNNNNNNNNNNNNNNNNNNNNNNNNNNNNNNNNNNNNNNNNNNNNNNNNNNNNNNNNNNNNNNNNNNNNNNNNNAGUCCCCUGUUCUGAGUUUAGAAAAAUAAUUACAAAUUGUACAAAAAUGGGUUAUGAGUUGAAAUUUACAUGCUUAGAUUCCCUUAAUGAGUCUAUUUUCUGUAGGAACAAGUGGGAAUAGCAUAUGAAAAUCCUAUAACAAGAAAAGUUAUUUUUAGUAACAAGAGGUCAGAAUAGUUGAAUGGUGAAACAGGGGAGACUUUAACUAAUAAACUGUACUAAUUGGAUGAACCAAAAAUUUUAAAAAUUUUAUGGUAGGAAGAUAUAUGAGUCUAGUUUCAUGGAAAAUUUACGGAGUUAAAUUUUGAGUUCCGUAGCUCAAGUUAUAAUUAAUUUAGUGACCGCUGCGCAAUUGGACAGCUUUGCUGUAAAUAGUGAAAAUAAUUUGCAAAAGUAAUUUUUUAUGCUCCGAAUUAGUAAGAUAAGUUAAGUAAUGCCUCGUGCUCGACUCCGGAAACGGCCUCGGGUAAGGGGUGUUACACACAUACUUUUCAUCACAAUUAUCACUACUAAUAAACAAUUCAAUCUUUAAUAUUAGCAAUUAAUUAUAUAUAAAUAUCAUUCUUUUUUUUUUAUCUUUCUUUAUUUCAAAUUUCACUCUUCACAUAUAAUAUAUCAUUCGAGAUUAGUUUUAUCAGUAAAUUUAUUUCAUUUAUCCCUAUUAACUUGGCUCGGACUCGGCGGAUACACGGAUUCCAACCAAACACACCAGUAAACAGUAAUCAGUAACGGUAACAGUAACAGUAAAAGUAACAGUAUUCAACACACAAAGUGCUGAAUCUGUAACAGUAUUUCGACACACAAAGUGCCGAAUUGGUAACAGUAACAGUAAUCGGCACAUAAGUGCCUAAUCAGUAAGCCGGCAAAUACACCGUACUCUUCCAUAUCCUAUGGCAUGCCAACUAUAUCCGACUAGCCCGACUAGUUAAUAGGGUAUUUAAUUCACUUUCAGUACAAUUUUUCAUCUUAGUUCAGUAUCAAUUAUAAAUUCCUUAUUUCAAUCAGUUUCACAGUAUUGCAGUAAUCACUACUACAGUAAUUUCACAAUUCAAUACAUUAUACGUAACAAAUUUUCAGUAUUUUCACAAUUGACGCAGUACUCAAACAAUAUCCAGUAUUUCAUAAUUUAAUUCAAUAUCGGUUUCAAUCCCAUUAUCACAUUGUAAAUUUAUCAUUUAUUAAACACUUACCUUAAAAUACUUACCACACAUAAUUAGCAAAUUAAACAUUUAAUAAUAAUAAAGUUUGAAUUAUAGUGAUACAAACCGUAAUUCCCGUGUCUAUUCCUAGUCCACUUUUUCUUUUCCUUCCCUCGUGGAUGCCUCGGGUGCGAUAUUAGCAAGUUAAAUUCCAAGCUUUAAAAACCCUAUUUUCCCUUUUUCUUUCUUUUUCUUCUUUCUCCCCUGUUUCUCCUCUGUUUGGUCUCUUUCUCUGUUUCUUUGUUCUUUCUAUUCUGUUUCUUUUCUUUUGCUUUGUUUUU